This 305-nucleotide ribosomal RNA is filed under the name uncultured bacterium. Its description in RNAcentral is "bacterial SSU rRNA". It matches the Rfam family "Bacterial small subunit ribosomal RNA", at positions 28 to 334 of the family's 1533-position model. The record is from RNAcentral.
GAUGAACGCUGGCGGCGUGCUUAACACAUGCAAGUCGAGCGAGGGAGUCUCUUCGGAGAUGAACUAGCGGCGGACGGGUGAGUAACACGUGGGCAACCUGCCUUACAGAGGGGGAUAGCCUUCCGAAAGGAAGAUUAAUACCGCAUAUUAUGAGUUUUCUGCAUGGGGAAUUCAUGAAAGGAGCAAUCCGCUGUAAGAUGGGCCCGCGGCGCAUUAGCUAGUUGUGAGGUAAGGCUCACCAAGGCGACGAUGCGUAGCCGACCUGAGAGGGUGAUCGGCCACAUUGGGACUGAGACACGGCCCAG